This 465-nucleotide ribosomal RNA is filed under the name uncultured bacterium. RNAcentral's name for it is "partial 16S ribosomal RNA". It matches the Rfam family "Bacterial small subunit ribosomal RNA", at positions 338 to 795 of the family's 1533-position model. The record is from RNAcentral.
CCUACGGGAGGCAGCAGUGGGGAAUUUUGCGCAAUGCUCGUAAGAGUGACGCAGCGACGCCGCGUGAAUGACGAAGGCCUUCGGGUCGUAAAGUUCUUUCGACAGGGAAGAAAAUGCCUAUAAGUAACUGUGUAUGUAUUGACGGUACCUGUAUAAGCAGCCCCGGCUAACUCCGUGCCAGCAGCCGCGGUAAUACGGAGGGGGCGAGCGUUGUUCGGAGGGACUGGGCGUAAAGAGCACGUAGGCGGUGUUGUAAGUCAUUAGUCAAAGACUAGAGCUCAACUUUAGUAAGGCUAGUGAUACUAUAAUACUAGAGUAUCAGAGAGGAUUGCAGAAUUCCUGGUGUAGCGGUUAAAUGCGUAGAUAUCAGGAGGAAUACCGUUAGCGAAGGCGGCAAUCUGGCUGGAAACUGACGCUGAGGUGCGAAAGCGUGGGUAGCAAACAGGAUUAGAUACCCCGGUAGUC